RNAcentral lists this ribosomal RNA (665 nucleotides) under uncultured bacterium. RNAcentral describes it as "bacterial SSU rRNA". It matches the Rfam family "Bacterial small subunit ribosomal RNA", at positions 61 to 738 of the family's 1533-position model. The record is from RNAcentral.
GUUGAGCGGAGGUAGAUGGAGCUUGCUCUAUGUACCUUAGCAGCGAACGGGUGAGUAACACGUAGAUAAUCUGUCCUAUAUUGGGGGAUAGCCCGAUGAAAGUUGGAUUAAUACCGCAUACAGCUAUAUAGUUGCAUGAUUAUAUAGUGAAAGAUUUAUUGAUAUAGGAGGAGUCUGCGGCACAUUAGCUAGUAGGUGAGGUAAGAGCUUACCUAGGCGACGAUGUGUAGCCGGUCUGAGAGGAUGAACGGCCACAAUGGAACUGAGACACGGUCCAUACUCCUACGGGAGGCAGCAGUGGGGAAUAUUGCACAAUGGGGGAAACCCUGAUGCAGCAACGCCGCGUGAGUGAAGAAGGUUUUCGGAUUGUAAAGCUCUGUUAGCAGGGAAGAGGAAGGACGGUACCUGCAGAGGAAGCCACGGCUAACUACGUGCCAGCAGCCGCGGUAAUACGUAGGUGGCAAGCGUUGUUCGGAAUAACUGGGCGUAAAGGAUGCGUAGGCGGUUAAAUAAGUUAUAUGUUAAAUAUAUAGGCUUAACCUGUAGAAAGCAUAUAAAACUGUUUAACUAGAGUGCAGGAGAGGUAAGUGGAAUUCCUAGUGUAGCGGUGAAAUGCGUAGAGAUUAGGAAGAACACCAGUGGCGAAGGCGACUUACUGGACUGUA